Serinus canaria (Common canary) is the source of this 4309-nucleotide long non-coding RNA. RefSeq lists it as uncharacterized. The transcript is spliced from 2 exons. The record is from RefSeq and is a predicted model, not a curated record. Lineage: Eukaryota; Metazoa; Chordata; Aves; Passeriformes; Fringillidae.
CCCUUACCGGCGGUCGGCGCCGCGCUGCGGGGGCGGCGGCGGGCGGCUCCAGUCACGCCGGGAACCAUGGAAAGGAGCCGGGACGGGAGACAGACCAGAGCGAGACUGUGAACGGCAGCAGCUCAGAGCCUCCGCUUCCCUCCGGGCUCUCCAAACCUUCCAGACGUGCUGCGGGAAGAACUCCACACCGCUGGGCACCACGGCCUCCCACAGCACCCUGCCACAGCCAGAGACUGCUGCUGGAGCCCGAGCUCAGGUGUGGGAUGGUCCAGAGCUCUCACAGGACAGCUCUUCAUGCUGAGUUGUCCUGCUCCAUCGUUUCUUCUGUGUCUGGGAGCUGAGCAGUCCUGGGUAAAGAUGUGGAAAGCUCUGACAGGGAACACAGAGUAGGAGUGGAAAUACUGGAGGCAAACCUUCGGUUUUCAGCGCCUACUGAACAUGUGCCUCAUCAUUCUCUUCCCCAAGUUAGCGCAGAUCAGACUCUUCAAGGCACAGCACCUUGCAGUGAGCUUUGGUGGCUGCAAUCUCCUCCUAAUCCAGGCUUGUUUCAGGGAAAACAGGCAAUUUUAUAUCCCUUUGAUAUGGGUCUUAGCUGCUAAUGAUGCUAGGAAGUAAAAAGAAAUGGGCAUAGAAAUACACAACUGUGAAGAAUUAAAAUAGUGAAUUUAAUUCAGCCAAUUCCAACAAAAUUGGUAAUUCCCUGGAAAACAAACCUUGCACAGAAAACACACAACAGAAAUGGUUUCAUCUUGACAGCUGGUGAAAACAACUGGGUGAAAAGGUGAAAGGAAUAUUUCUGACUUCUCUGGAAAACACAAGGUUUCACACAUCCUGAAAAUGCCCUAUUUUUUACUAAAUGGGUCGGUUUGUGAGGCAGUGAUUGUAAAUUCUCUGCAAGGAAAACACAGGUUUGUGCUCUGAACUGCAGAUGCCAAAUGUCUGGUUUUCAGAAAGCACUGAUGAUUCCCUAAAGAAAAAGCUGGGACUUUAAAAUCAUAGAAACAUGGAAUGGUUUGGGCUGGAAGGGAAACUCAAAGCUCAUCUCGCUCUAAGCCCCCACCAGAGCAGGGACACAUUCCACUAGACUAGCCCAGAAAUCUGAAGAACAGCAAGAAAAGAUGUAUUAUUUGUCAGAAUCAUUUGCCUGGCUUGCCCAGUGGCCCCGGUCUGGGCUCCAGGGCGAUGCAGAGCCCGAUGGAAGGACGCGAGGCUGCGGCUGUCGCCAGGCGUGUGGAGGGAGCUGGCUGGACAGCCUGGCUCAGCUCCUCAGCACUGAAACACUCUUUCCAAAGCAAUACCAAAAAAGGUUUGUUUCUAGGUCAGGACCUCAGCACUCAAUUUUAACCAGGGGCUGACAGUCCAAUCUGAACACAGCUGUAAAAUGGAUUCGCGGGAGAAGCUCUGGCAUUCCUUUUGUAAUUAGAAAACAGCCACUGAGGCGUGUGCCUUUAAAGGUGAAAGCUAUUUUUGACAUAAAAAUUAGCACGUAGUUCCUCUGUCAUCCCUCGGCUGCUGCGCUGGGAGCUGUGAGUGAACAAUCCAGAGAUAAGCAAGAAGUAUAAACAUGCUGAAUUAUACAAAUACGUAGAAGGGGAUCAGGUUUAAUUUGUUUUAUUCUCUGGCAGUUAGGAGACAAGGAGAUUUAUUCGUACACUUUUUCUCCUAAAAAGCACUGGUUAAAAGGUCCACUUAAGCACUGAAACCCCAAUGGCAUUAAAAAACUUGAAGAGCUUUUAAUAGCUACCUUUAGAAAUUACUGUUAAAUCUAUUUUUGAGAUGGAUAAACUAAGCUACCAAUGAAGCAGGGCAGGAGUUUUUGGAAGGGCCCAGCAGUGAGAAACUGUCAUUCAUUUCUCAACAACUCAGCUCCUGUACAGGGACCCUGAGAUAAAAACUACCACAGUGCUCGAUGCUUUAACAACCUGAGCGUUCUUUAAAUUCCAAUUUGCUCUCUUCGGUGGGAAUCUAACCCCGACAGCUUUGAAAAUGAACCCCAGGCAGUUUUCAGGAUAGGGCUCAGCGCGGCUGUUUCUAAAAUAAAAGUGAGGGAAGAGCGAGCAGAACUUGGAGGCUUAUCAGCACCCGAAUGCCCCGGCUAAUCCUCAGCAGCCCCGGCCCCUUUAUGUAACCUGGGAUUGCUGCAGCUCAACAGCUUACUGGGGUCUGGGUGGUUUUCUUUAAACCUCUUGUGGACAAAUGCAAACACAUGAAAUACUUCUUUCUUCUGCCUCUCUAAGGAAAAAAAUUGUUGCAAGAGGGAAAAAAGUGUUUUAUUUGUAUCAAUGGCUAAUAGAAUUAAACUUGUAUGCUGAGACUAAAACAUGUUUCUCUCUGAUCCAUCAUGACUGAACAGAACUUUCCCAAUUUACAAUACUCAGGUGUAACGCUUGAAAAAAAGGUUGAAUCCCAAAUUUCUCUUCACCCUGAACACUCUGUGGAGGUGUUGGGGUGUUCCAAAUAAAGAGAAAGCCAGCCCCUUUAUAGCCUGUACCCCAUUUCUGGCAGCGUGGCUGGCUGUGCUGCAAUACUUACGUCCCUGUGGCCACCUCCCCGCGCUCUCCUUGCCCGGAGGAUGCCUUUCCGUGCCCUCCAUCUGACUGCUCUGACUUUCCACAGCACACAUCCUUCCAAGGCAAAAUUCAGCUCUCAAGCUGUCGGCCGGUCUGAGCCAUUCACCUCACGCUGAAUGCUUACGGAAACUUCAGAAGGAAAAAAAUAAACCCCCUAUUGAACUCCUUGCAAUCGGAGACCUGAAUGGGCUCGAUAUAAACCCCACUCGAACCAGCGGCAGCAAUAGGCUUCCCUGGAUGUUGGAUUCCAUCCAGCUUAAAAGUUUCCAUGAAAUAAACUAGGCUAAGCGCAUCAGCUGCAUAGGAACUAACUCGGUGUAACAGGAGCAUCUGUUCUUCGCGUCCACCAUUUUCUCAGAGCCUGAACUCGGCGGCGCUGCGGCGCGAGGUGCCAGCGGAUCCCCGGCCGGGCACGGACACGGAUUAGCAGGGAGCAUGCACGUCGUACAAACUACUGCACCAGGUAGCUUUUGUUUGUCAGAAAAACAGCUUAAUGUAUUUGCAAGGAUGGCAUUACAGAGCGAAGUCAAUGUCCGCACUGAGACAGCAGAGGAGCACACCUCGGACCCAUUAAUACACGGUACAAAGCAAAUGUUUACCCAAGUACAAAUGAAACAGGUCGACAAUUAGCUAAUGCAGCUUUGUGGACAUAAACCAGGUACAGUCGAGCAGAACCAACAUAAAAUAAAAAGGAAACAGCCCUUUUGCUACGCCACGCUAAGAGCACCGUGGUUAGUGGUUUGGGAAGCCUCUGUCACGGUGAAAAAUUUCCUUGCCGGUGUUUAAUGUGUUUAUUCUACUGCUACACUGCUGGGAUAAAAAUAACAGCUGGCUGUACAAGGGACCCACUGUCAAUACUGCAGUAAUUGACAACAUACAGUUAAGUCUCACACCUGUUUAUUGUAAGUAAUUCAUAGAUAACCACUUCUAGUACACAUUUUCAUAUUGGCUUUUAAUGCUUUUGUUCUCUUUUUUUUCUUUUUUAAGCUCAGGGAUACCCAAAUUUCACCUACGGGUCAUCACUGUGGUUACCCAGACCCAGAAGGCUGUACCUACUUUGGGAGACUGGUGCGAGGUGGUGUCGUGGCCAGGGAUGGCAGAGAUGGCUGGGGAACUACGGGUCCCAACAUGCAGGACGGUGUGGAGGUGGCAGCGGGGCCGGGGCAGCAGGGCUGGGGACAUGCUGGCGGGCUGGCCGUGCACGCCGGGCUCUACACAGGGCCAAAACAAAGACCUCUACACACCUGGAGUAAGAACAGUGGUAACAAAGUCAUAGCUACAUAUUCUUCUCUACAUUUUUGUUUAUUGAGACAAACUAAUUAAAAGGCACAAACAUAGGGCAUAUGUUUACAUGGACAUUAUAACAAACAUAUACAUUAAAAGUGUAGGAAUGUGUUUCCUUUCUGCUAAACAGAAAGUUCCUAAGCUUUUAUAUAUACAAAAGUUGUACAAUUUGAUGUCCUAAAGUACAAAAGAUCAUUUAUAAAAUUAUUUUACACUAAGCUCUAUUAUUUUUUUUUGUUUGUUUUUGUUUUACUAUGUAGUCCAAGCCCCUAGAACAGUUUCACGUAAGGAUACAGAUACCUGUCACCUGAGCCAGCAGCCUGGCAAUCACUGCUCGCACGGACACGGCCGGGGAGGAACGGAAGCAGUCCAGUGUGACUGGGCAGUCCUGCUAGCACUCUGUGAAAAUGCACACGCUAAUCUCCAGAGCUCUCAACUUCAUUAAGAUAAAAACA